GUAUUGUAAUUAUAAUUACAACAAAUAUUAAUUACUUAAUCCACUCAAAAGCAACAAGCAUUCAAUGACAUUAUUAUUAGAUUAUCAAUUGAUUGACCAUAAAAAGACUCAUUGGUUAAACUUGAACUUCAAUUAAUCAUUUAAAUGAUCAACCGUUGACAUUUUAAUGAACCACAAAAGCAGACUAGUCAUGACCAAAUGGUGAAUUUCCAGGUUUCUCAAAGAAAAUGAAGUUAAAUGAAAAUAUCUUUGCAUGAUGUUCAUUUUAAAUUUGGAAAAUUUCAGGUUAAAAGCUUGAACAUGAUAAAACAAUGAAGUUCAUCGGUUCUCGAUUACCCAAACUGGUUAAGGGGAUCUUUUUUGGGUUCAUUGGGUUACUCUUGAUCUGUCAAAUUGUCCAUUUAUACCAACAAUAUACUUUACAAGAAGUGAAAGUGGAAACCCUUUACCAUCGCAAUAGUCCCAUUGAGAUGCCAAAUUUGACCUUUUGCUUCAAAUUAUUGCAUGUGCUUGAUAUUAAGCUUUUGUUUGAAAAAUUUCCAGAUAUUUUAUCAAUUGUGAAAAACAUUUCAGUGACAAAUAAGGAUUACACCGGGAGGAGUUAUACUGAUAUAAUUGUUGAAAGGGAUGAAAUCCUGUUCGAUCGACUAACAACUUUACAAUUUUUCGAUACUGUUAAGCCUAUUGAGGAACUUUUCAAAUUUUGUUUAAUUCGAACUGAAAAUGUACCUUCAAUCAACUGCUCACUUAACUGGUUGAGAAGGAUUCAUUCAAAAAAUUUGUGCUUAACGCUUCGCUCAAACGCCACAUUUGACUACAAUAACAUUGUUUUUGAUGGUUACGGUAAUUCACCUUUGGCAUUUUUCUUAAUCGAUUUAACACCAUUGCCCCUAAUUAAGCAAAUUUUGGUUGCAGCUCACAUUUCAGAGGAAUUACCAUGGUUUCAUCAGAUUAGCUUUGCUGAGUUGAUAGUAAAUGAAGAUACAGAAUAUGGUUAUUCAUUAUCCUUUCACAAACAUGUUGAUAUAAACCUUCCUGGAUCCAAUCUGAAUGGUUGUAAUCAGCAGCUUUCAAACAAUUUUAAAGAUGUGCCAAGUUGUUAUGAACACUGCUUAAUGGGACAAUUUGUUGAUCGAGAACAAAAAUAUCCUCGAGAUUUCCUGAUUAAAUCUGGUGAUGAUUUCAAGUUGAUUGACAAUUACUGGGUUAGUCAAAGUUAUUACAAUUUAACUAGUAAAUUGUACAGACAGUGUAAGCAAGUUUGUGGAUUGAAAGAUUGUGUCGAGAUAAAUUAUAUAUUAAAUAAGCUAAAACCAUCCCAGAAAUCACAAAUUCCUGGUAAAAACAUCAAAAUUACAAUAUUGCCAUCUAAACUAGUGACUGUAAUCAAAUCUCGUAAACUAGUUAUAACAUUUGCCAAUUAUAUUUCAUCGGUUGGAGGCUUAAUCGGUCUAUGGUUUGGAUCGUCAUUUUAUUCACUAAUCAAGCUAUUGUUACAUUUCAGAUCAAAAUCAUUAGAGACUCGAAAAAUGUCUAAAAUUUCAAAAAAGCCCAAACGCUUAUUUCACCACCGAAAAGUGACUCCAGUUGCAACCAUAGCAUACAAACCAGUCAAUAUUGAACACAUUCCCAGAACCCAUUAUUUAUCUCGAGUUAACUUAUUGUAAGUCUUGAGAUUGAUUACCAAUUCAAUGUUCAAUUUUAAAUCAAAAAGGCUUAUUAAAGGGCAACUAAGCUAUUAGCUUACAGUGCACAUUUGUUUAACAUUUGGUUUGAGUUACUUGAUACUGUUGAUACUGUUGAUACCAAUGAUUUACCAGAAUUGACUUUGCCAGAAGAUCAGUGAUUCAUUAGUGGUUUUCAAUACAACAUGAAACUGACACAAUUUUCACCAUUCAAAGUAAUAAUUUUGGCGUAUUUACAAUGCCUUUUCUCAUCUUCAUUGCCUCAACUUGAAGAGGGUAAAUUUUUAAUCCAAAUUUCGGAUCAAUACAGUGCUCCAUUGGUGGUUUCAUUUCUUCAUGACAGAAUCACGAUCAAUAAACAGAUGCUUGAGAAGAUCGGAAAUUCCCUAACUUUGGAUCAACAAAAGAAGGACUAUUUUGAUUUGUCCGUUCAAUGCCUUGAAAUUUUGGACAGUCAUCUGAUCACUCUGCAAAAGGCCAAUUAUUUUGAUUUCAAUGGAACCUCUAAAGCAAAAUAUUUCAUUGAACUGUUUAAUGUGUACAAUGAAAUGUAUCCAGUCGAGUUGGGAUUGAACGGAAUGAUAUUCAAUGACAUGUCUAUUUCAACAUACGAUUCUUUGAAUAAAUUUUUAGCCAUCAAAUCAAAUGAUCAACUGAUCCUUGAAACUCAAAAAUUGACCCAUUCAGUGAAAAAAGAUUUGGACGCCAAACUAAGAAAUGAAACAUGUAAUCGCCUUCAGAGACUGGCGUGUAAAUUGGCUAUAAGCAAACUUGAAUCUUUGACCAACCAUUUCACCGUUAAACCAGUUGAAUUAUAUGAACCGUAUAUUUAUAAGUCAGAACCUGUGUACAAUUCCAGGGCAGACAUCGCCGAGACUCUACAUAAAAUUAAACUCAUGGCUAGACUUUUCCACACAUUGUACUCCAGCCUCGGAAGACCAGGUACUUCAACCAACGAACCUUAUAUUGAAUUUCCGAGUACAACUCCAUUAUAUUACACUUCCACAAACAUUCCCACAAAUAUUCCCAUAAGCAUUCCCAGAAAGAAUCCCACAAAGAAUUCCACAAAGAUGCCCACAAUGCCAACCAUGGGAUCAGGCUUUGUGCCAAUGUACGAUGAUGCAUAUUAAAGCCAGUACAUCGAUUUAUUGUUUGCAUGAAAAUCAAAACAAUUAAAUGAUUUUCACUAUUUUAAUCUACUAUUUAAAAUGAAUACA
Molecule: non-coding RNA, 2902 nt
Organism: Tetranychus urticae (two-spotted spider mite)
Lineage: Eukaryota; Metazoa; Arthropoda; Arachnida; Trombidiformes; Tetranychidae
Source: RefSeq, a predicted model, not a curated record